Molecule: long non-coding RNA, 524 nt
Organism: Solanum lycopersicum (tomato)
Lineage: Eukaryota; Viridiplantae; Streptophyta; Magnoliopsida; Solanales; Solanaceae
Source: RefSeq, a predicted model, not a curated record
UUAAUUUCAAAUCUUUUCUCUCUCAAGUUCAUCAAUUUCAAGUAACUAAAGAGGUACCUUUUGUAUUUUAUUUUGAUGAUUCAUCAAAAUAGAUCUAAUCAACUCAUUAUGAUUUCGACGAUGAUGAUUGGGCUGGAAAUAAAUUCAAAAGCUUGUAGGAUCUAUUAACAAUGACAAAUGAUAAUAUUUAGAAGACGAAGUUGAAGGAGGAUGAAAUUUCAUCUUUUAAAGCGAAUGUGUAAGAACCCCCAAAGAGGAUAGAAUUGUUGCAUCUGAUAUGUGGUGUGUUAUCUUUGAAGAAAAUGAUCUAGGAUUAACAAUCCUAGGAGGUUGGUUUCUGGAUAAAUGGCUACUUCGUCAAUAUAGAAUAGUCAUUAUGUAUUUGUUGACACACCCAUUUGAAUGUUUUACUAUUUUAAAGAUACAUUAAAUAAGGUUUUAGAAAGUUUCUUCAAAAGUUUUGUUGUUUUGAAUGUAAAUUUAAUGUAUUUUAAUUUUGAUCUCAAUAUGUAUAUUUUUCUUUA